AAGUCUCUAAGGACGAUUUCCUUCACCAUAAAACCCCUUGCUUCUCCGACUCACUUGUGAUUGUCAGUAGAGGACCUCAUGAAUAAUGCUCUUUCUAUUAAAAAAAAAAAGAAUUAAAAAAAACUUAAAACUGUUUAUAUGCACGCGCUGACAGCUAUUAGCAUCAACCCCUUUUGUCAGCUUCCAGGAAAUAAUACGGAGCUAUGUGGCAUUAUUCUUUAUCCAGACUGGGAUUCGUGCAUAGUCUAGUCCCUCCGUUUACCAGAAAGUACCAGAAACUGUGUGUAGGACUGAUAGACUUCAGUGUAUAUGACAAAUUACAGUCUGUCAGGACACAAGCAAAGGAUGGGAACAUCUCUCCUUGGAUUAUGAGUUCAUCCUUUUAGUGMGACUGCAAAGGUGUGGACCUGUCUAUGGAUUUGAUUUUUCCAUCACUAUCCUAUCUAGAAAAGCUACCAAAAAUAAAUAAGGAUUUUCAAGCA
Molecule: long non-coding RNA, 482 nt
Filed under: Apteryx rowi (Okarito brown kiwi)
Lineage: Eukaryota; Metazoa; Chordata; Aves; Apterygiformes; Apterygidae
Description: lncRNA (ENSARWG00000006902.1)
Source: RNAcentral